GGGGAAUAUUGCACAAUGGGCGCAAGCCUGAUGCAGCCAUGCCGCGUGUGUGAAGAAGGCCUUCGGGUUGUAAAGCACUUUCAGCGAGGAGGAAGGCGUUAAGGUUAAUAACCUUAGCGAUUGACGUUACUCGCAGAAGAAGCACCGGCUAACUCCGUGCCAGCAGCCGCGGUAAUACGGAGGGUGCAAGCGUUAAUCGGAAUUACUGGG
Molecule: ribosomal RNA, 210 nt
Filed under: uncultured bacterium
Lineage: Bacteria
Description: partial 16S ribosomal RNA
Rfam family: Bacterial small subunit ribosomal RNA
Source: RNAcentral